Molecule: transfer RNA, 83 nt
Filed under: Raineya orbicola
Lineage: Bacteria; Pseudomonadati; Bacteroidota; Cytophagia; Cytophagales; Raineyaceae
Description: tRNA-Met
Rfam family: tRNA
About the family: Transfer RNA (tRNA) molecules are approximately 80 nucleotides in length. Their secondary structure includes four short double-helical elements and three loops (D, anti-codon, and T loops).
Source: RNAcentral
CGGGGUGUCGGUAGUUGGUUAGCCGGGAGGUCUCAUAAGCCUCUGCGAAAGCCUCGUGGGUUCGAGUCCCACCUCCGCAACAA